This 444-nucleotide ribosomal RNA is filed under the name uncultured bacterium. RNAcentral's name for it is "partial 16S ribosomal RNA". It matches the Rfam family "Bacterial small subunit ribosomal RNA", at positions 338 to 795 of the family's 1533-position model. The record is from RNAcentral.
CCUACGGGAGGCAGCAGUGGGGAAUAUUGGGCAAUGGAGGAAACUCUGACCCAGCAAUGCCGCGUGAAUGAAGAAGGUCUUCGGAUUGUAAAGUUCUUUAGUCAGGGAAGAAGUCAAUGACGGUACCUGAAGAAUAAGCUCAGGCUAACUACGUGCCAGCAGCCGCGGUAAUACGUAGGGAGCAAGCGUUGUUCGGAAGGAAUGGGCGUAAAGGGUGCGUAGGCGGUUGUACAAGUUAGAAGUGAAAUACCCAGGGCUUAACUCGGGUGCUGCUUGUAAAACUGUAUGACUUGAGUGCAGUAGAGGAUAGUAGAAUUCCUGGUGUAGCGGUGGAAUGCGUAGAUAUUAGGAGGAACACCAGAGGCGAAGGCGGCUAACUGGACUGCAACUGACGCUGAGGCACGAAAGUGUGGGGAGCAAACAGGAUUAGAUACCCGAGUAGUC